RNAcentral lists this ribosomal RNA (510 nucleotides) under uncultured bacterium. RNAcentral's name for it is "partial 16S ribosomal RNA". It matches the Rfam family "Bacterial small subunit ribosomal RNA", at positions 29 to 523 of the family's 1533-position model. The record is from RNAcentral.
AACGAACGUUAGCGGCGCGCCUAACACAUGCAAGUCGAACGCGACAGGGGCAACUCUGUUGAGUGGCGCACGGGUGAGCAACACGUAGGUAAUCUCCCCCCGAGUGGUGGAUAACCUUCCGAAAGGAGGGCUAAUACAGCAUAAGACCACGGCUUCGAAAGGAGCUGAGGUCAAAGCGGAGGAUCGCAAGACUUCGCGCGUGGGGAUGAGCCUGCGGCCCAUCAGGUAGUUGGCGGGGUAACAGCCCACCAAGCCUAAGACGGGUAGCUGGUCUGAGAGGAUGAGCAGCCACACUGGAACUGAGACACGGUCCAGACUCCUACGGGAGGCAGCAGUGGGGAAUCUUGCGCAAUGGACGAAAGUCUGACGCAGCGACGCCGCGUGGGUGAUGAAGGCCUUCGGGUUGUAAAGCCCUGUGGGGAGGGACGAAUAAGUUUCAGCUAAUACCUGAAGCGAUGACGGUACCUCCUUAGCAAGCACCGGCUAACUCUGUGCCAGCCGCCGCAGUAA